RNAcentral lists this non-coding RNA (28 nucleotides) under Mus musculus (house mouse). The record is from RNAcentral. Lineage: Eukaryota; Metazoa; Chordata; Mammalia; Rodentia; Muridae.
UGUUUUAGUGAUGCCCACAGUUAAGAGA